UACAGAGGUCUCAAGCGUUGUUCGGAUUCAUUGGGCGUAAAGGGUGCGUAGGUGGCGCUGUAAGUCGGGUGUGAAAUUUCGGAGCUUAACUCCGAAACUGCAUUCGAUACUGCGGUGCUUGAGGACUAGAGAGGAGACUGGAAUUCAUGGUGUAGCAGUGAAAUGCGUAGAGAUCAUGAGGAAGACCAGUGGCGAAGGCGGGUCUCUGGACAGUUCCUGACACUGAGGCACGAAGGCCAGGGGAGCAAACGGG
RNAcentral lists this ribosomal RNA (253 nucleotides) under uncultured bacterium. RNAcentral's name for it is "partial 16S ribosomal RNA". It matches the Rfam family "Bacterial small subunit ribosomal RNA", at positions 524 to 776 of the family's 1533-position model. The record is from RNAcentral.